ACAGGCCUAACACAUGCAAGUCGAGGGGCAGCACAAGGAGCAAUCUGAGGUGGCGACCGGCGCACGGGUGAGUAACACGUAUGCAACCUGCCUGUAAGCGGGGAAUAACCCGUUGAAAGACGGACUAAUACCGCAUAAUACUAAAUUACUGCAUGGUAAUUUAUUUAAACAUUUAUGGCUUACAGAUGGGCAUGCGCAUGAUUAGCUAGUUGGAGAGGUAACGGCUCCCCAAGGCAACGAUCAUUAGGGGUUCUGAGAGGAAGGUCCCCCCACACUGGUACUGAGACACGGACCAGACUCCUACGGGAGGCAGCAGUGAGGAAUAUUGGUCAAUGGACGAGAGUCUGAACCAGCCAAGUCGCGUGCAGGAAGAAUUGUCCUAUGGAUUGUAAACUGCUUUUGCAGGGGAAUAAAGUGCAUCACGUGUGAUGUUUUGUAUGUACUCUGCGAAUAAGGAUCGGCUAACUCCGUGCCAGCCGCCGC
RNAcentral lists this ribosomal RNA (483 nucleotides) under uncultured bacterium. Its description in RNAcentral is "bacterial SSU rRNA". It matches the Rfam family "Bacterial small subunit ribosomal RNA", at positions 42 to 518 of the family's 1533-position model. The record is from RNAcentral.